GCGUCAGCAGCCGCGGUAAUACGGAGGGUGCAAGCGUUAUCCGGAUUCACUGGGUUUAAAGGGUGCGUAGGCGGGUAUGUAAGUCAGUGGUGAAAUCCUGGAGCUUAACUCCGAAACUGCCAUUGAUACUAUGUAUCUUGAAUAUCGUUGAGGUUUGCGGAAUAUGUAAUGUAGCGGUGAAAUGCUUAGAUAUGACAUAGAACACCAAUUGCGAAGGCAGCAGGCUAAACGAACAUUGACGCUGAGGCACGAAAGCGUGGGGAUCAAACAGGAUUAGAAACCCUCGUAGUCC
Molecule: ribosomal RNA, 292 nt
Filed under: uncultured bacterium
Lineage: Bacteria
Description: partial 16S ribosomal RNA
Rfam family: Bacterial small subunit ribosomal RNA
Source: RNAcentral